Molecule: ribosomal RNA, 531 nt
Filed under: uncultured bacterium
Lineage: Bacteria
Description: bacterial SSU rRNA
Rfam family: Bacterial small subunit ribosomal RNA
Source: RNAcentral
UGGGGAAUAUUGCACAAUGGGCGGACCCUUGANGCAGCGACGCCGCGUGAGGGAUGAAGGCCUUCGGGUUGUAAACCUCUUUCAGCAGGGACGAAGCGUGAGUGACGGUACCUGCAGAAGAAGCACCGGCUAACUACGUGCCAGCAGCCGCGGUAAUACGUAGGGUGCGAGCGUUGUCCGGAAUUACUGGGCGUAAAGAGUUCGUAGGCGGUUUGUCGCGUCGUUUGUGAAAACCCGGGGCGCAACUUCGGGCUUGCAGGCGAUACGGGCAGACUUGAGUGUUUCAGGGGAGACUGGAAUUCCUGGUGUAGCGGUGAAAUGCGCAGAUAUCAGGAGGAACACCGNUGGCGAAGGCGGGUCUCUGGGAAACAACUGACGCUGAGGAACGAAAGCGUGGGUAGCAAACAGGAUUAGAUACCCUGGUAGUCCACGCCGUAAACGGUGGGCGCUAGGUGUGGGUUCCUUCCACGGGAUCUGUGCCGUAGCUAACGCAUUAAGCGCCCCGCCUGGGGAGUACGGCCGCAAGGCUAA